CGCCUCUUGAUGAAUUAUAAGAGGUCUAGCCUGCCCAGUGAAAUAUUUAACGGCCGCGGUACCCUGACCGUGCGAAGGUAGCAUAAUCACUUGUUCUUUAAAUAGGGACUAGUAUCAACGGCAUCACGAGGGUUACACUGUCUCCUUUCUCCAAUCAGUGAAACUGAUCUUCCCGUGAAGAAGCGGGAAUAUAACUAUAAGACGAGAAGACCCCAUGGAGCUUUAAAUUUACAGCAACUCAGUCAAAUAAACCCUUAUAAGUCACAGAAUUAUGCAUAACAAUUUUAGGUUGGGGUGACCGCGGAGUAAAAAUUAACCUCCACGACGAAUAGAACUAAACCUUUAUCCAAGAGCCACAACUCUAAGAAUUAGCACACUAACGAUUAAUGACCCGAUAAUCGAUCAACGGACCAAGUUACCCUGGGGAUAACAGCGCAAUCUACUUCAAGAGUUCAUAUCGACAAGUGGGCUUACGACCUCGAUGUUGGAUCAGGGUAUCCUAGUGGUGCAGCCGCUACUAACGGUUCGUUUGUUCAACGAUUAAAACCCU
RNAcentral lists this ribosomal RNA (550 nucleotides) under Zhangixalus chenfui (Chinese whipping frog). RNAcentral's name for it is "partial 16S ribosomal RNA". It matches the Rfam family "Bacterial large subunit ribosomal RNA", at positions 1829 to 2597 of the family's 2925-position model. The record is from RNAcentral. Lineage: Eukaryota; Metazoa; Chordata; Amphibia; Anura; Rhacophoridae.